UGCCUUACACAUGCAAGUCGAACGGCAGCACGGGAGUAAUCCUGGUGGCGAGUGGCGAACGGGUGAGUAAUAUAUCGGAACGUGCCCAGUCGUGGGGGAUAACGCAGCGAAAGCUGUGCUAAUACCGCAUACGAUCUCUGGAUGAAAGCGGGGGACUCGCAAGGGCCUCGCGCGAUUGGAGCGGCCGAUAUCAGAUUAGGUAGUUGGUGAGGUAAUGGCUCACAAAGCCUACGAUCUAUAGCUGGUCUGAGAGGAUGAUCAGCCACACUGGGACUGAGACACGGCCCAGACUCCUACGGGAGGCAGCAGUGGGGAAUCUUGGACAAUGGGCGCAAGCCUGAUCCAGCCAUGCCGCGUGAAUGAUGAAGGCCUUUGGGUUGUAAAGUUC
Molecule: ribosomal RNA, 388 nt
Filed under: uncultured organism
Description: bacterial SSU rRNA
Rfam family: Bacterial small subunit ribosomal RNA
Source: RNAcentral